UACAGAGGGUGCGAGCGUUAAUCGGAAUUACUGGGCGUAAAGGGCGCGUAGGCGGAUGUUUAAGUCAUAUGUGAAAGCCCUGGGCUUAACCUAGGAAUGGCGUAUGAUACUGGGCAUCUUGAGUAGGGUAGAGGGAAGUGGAAUUUCCGGUGUAGCGGUGAAAUGCGUAGAUAUCGGAAGGAACACCAGUGGCGAAGGCGGCUUCCUGGACUCAUACUGACGCUGAGGCGCGAGAGCGUGGGGAGCAAACAGGAUUAGAUACCCUGGUAGUCCACGCUGUAAACGAUGAGGACUAGCUGUUGGGGUGGUAAUACACCUGAGUAGCGCAGCUAACGCGAUAAGUUCUCCGCCUGGGGAGUACGGCCGCAAGGUUAAA
Molecule: ribosomal RNA, 376 nt
Filed under: uncultured bacterium
Lineage: Bacteria
Description: bacterial SSU rRNA
Rfam family: Bacterial small subunit ribosomal RNA
Source: RNAcentral